UACAGAGGGUGCAAGCGUUGUUCGGAAUUACUGGGCGUAAAGCGUGCGCAGGCGGUUUUGUAAGUCUAUCGUGAAAUCCCCGGGCUCAACCUGGGAAUUGCGAUGGAGACUGCAAGGCUAGAAUCUGGCAGAGGGGGGUAGAAUUCCACGUGUGAGCAGUGAAAUGCGUAGAGAUGUGGAGGAACACCGAUGGCGAAGGCAGCCCCCUGGGUCAAGAUUGACGCUCAUGCAC
Molecule: ribosomal RNA, 232 nt
Filed under: uncultured bacterium
Lineage: Bacteria
Description: partial 16S ribosomal RNA
Rfam family: Bacterial small subunit ribosomal RNA
Source: RNAcentral